RNAcentral lists this long non-coding RNA (203 nucleotides) under Panax ginseng (ginseng). Its description in RNAcentral is "long non-coding RNA (PGIN_LNC006938)". Lineage: Eukaryota; Viridiplantae; Streptophyta; Magnoliopsida; Apiales; Araliaceae. The record is from RNAcentral.
UCCUAAUGCUUAUAUUGUGAUGAAAGUCAUCUUUGGCUUACGUGCAUAGAUGGACUGUUGGUUGAUAUGAUUAUGACCAGGGAUUAUUCGGUAUAAUCAUGACCAUUGAUGAUUACAUGAAUAUCAUUGGCCCGUAGUGCAGGGAUGAUUCGAUGAUGUGGUUUAUUUAUUAAGUUGAGUCUCAGCGAUAAAGUUGAUGAAAA